GAUGUGUCCAGUAAUGGGUGAUAACUUAGCGAAAGUUAGGCUAAUACCGCAUACGAUCUGAGGAUGAAAUCGGGGGAUGCAGCACUAAAAGAUUAUGGCAGAGUACAGUCAAAGGCAAUCCAAGAGUUUUUGGUGCUGCACCUCGCGUUAUUGGAGCGGAUGAUGUAUGAUUAGCUAGUUGGUGAGGUAAUGGCUUACCAAGGUGACGACUCAUUAGAUGGUUUGAGAGGACGGCCAGCCACAUUGGGACUGAGAUCACGGCCCAGAGUCCUACGGGAGGCAUCAGUGGGGAAUUUUGGACAAUGGGGGCAACCGUGAUCCAGCCAUGUCGCGUGAGUGAAGAAGGCAUUCGGGUUGUAAAGCUUUUUCGUCCGGAACGAAACAGUGGAUGUUAACACCCUCCGUUAAUGACGGUACCGGAAGAAGAAGCACCGGCUAACUACGUGCCAG
This 450-nucleotide ribosomal RNA is filed under the name uncultured bacterium. RNAcentral describes it as "bacterial SSU rRNA". It matches the Rfam family "Bacterial small subunit ribosomal RNA", at positions 123 to 511 of the family's 1533-position model. The record is from RNAcentral.